This 773-nucleotide ribosomal RNA is filed under the name uncultured Neocallimastigales. Its description in RNAcentral is "partial large subunit ribosomal RNA". It matches the Rfam family "Eukaryotic large subunit ribosomal RNA", at positions 23 to 616 of the family's 3401-position model. The record is from RNAcentral. Lineage: Eukaryota; Fungi; Neocallimastigomycota; Neocallimastigomycetes; Neocallimastigales.
AGAGAGAGACAUGCGCGCAUAUCAAUAAGCGGAGGAAAAGAAACUAACAAGGAUUCCCCUAGUAACGGCGAGUGAAGCGGGAAGAGCUCAAAUUUGAAAUCUUAAAGGGUUUCCCUUACGAAUUGUAGUUUAAAGAAGUGUUUUCUGUUGAGGUUUUGGUAAAAGUUCUUUGGAAUAGGACAUCAUAGAGGGUGAGAAUCCCGUAUUUGACCUUUACUUUCAACUUUGUGAUACACUUUCAAAGAGUCGGAUUGUUUGGGAAUGCAGUCCAAAAUGGGUGGUAAAUUUCAUCUAAAGCUAAAUAUUGGCGAGAGACCGAUAGCGAACAAGUACCGUGAGGGAAAGAUGAAAAGAACUUUGAAAAGAGAGUUAAACAGUACGUGAAAUUGUCAAAAGGGAAGCGUUUGACACCAGUGUUGUUUUUCUGAAAAUCAAUUAAAGAACUGUUUAUGCUAAGUUGUUUAGACUUUAUCAGCUAACUGUUUAGUUUUGAGCUUUUCUUUAAUGCACUUUUCAGUUAACAAGUCAACAUCAAUUUCUUUUGCUGUAAAAAAGCUUGAGGAAGGUGGCUUGAGAUUCGUCUUAAGUGUUUAUAGCCUCUUGCCUAUGCAGUCGGAGAGAUUGAGGUCUGCAGCGUAGAUCCUUCGGGGCUAAAUGCAUUUGUGCUAAGUUAUAGCAUUUUAUAGACAACUUGUUGACUAUGAUUUGUCUUGUAGCUUACUCGCUUAUGUUAUUUUACCUACGCUUAGGAUGUUGAGCGCAUGUCUCUCUCU